GAUAAUGACAUAUUUUGCUAUGAUUUCAGUAGUGAAUUGAGAGAAAAUGUCAACUCUUUCUUAGCUUUAUACCUUCUUUAUGCCUCAAUUUGUUAAGUUUCUAAGUAGCUACAUCUUUAGUUGAAUUCAUUUAAAUUGUUUCACUAAUCCCCACUUUUUGGUUGUUAGAUCAUGUACAUGAAGCUUGUUGGCCAAACCGACGAAUGGAAGAACCACAGAAGCAAGAAUGAAUGUAAAAGAGGAAAUAUUGAGCAAAGAGUGUUGCUGCCGCUGGGGUGCAGCUGGGGUGCAGCCGAGCCCCAUUCUCCUCUGGAAUGCUGUAGCUGGGG
This 329-nucleotide long non-coding RNA is filed under the name Vigna radiata. RNAcentral's name for it is "long non-coding RNA (VRAD_LNC010954)". The record is from RNAcentral. Lineage: Eukaryota; Viridiplantae; Streptophyta; Magnoliopsida; Fabales; Fabaceae.